This 498-nucleotide transfer RNA is filed under the name uncultured cyanobacterium. RNAcentral describes it as "partial 16S-23S intergenic spacer". The stretch from base 168 to 240 matches the Rfam family "tRNA". Lineage: Bacteria; Bacillati; Cyanobacteriota. The record is from RNAcentral.
GGUCGUUCGGUAUCUCACUUUCUUAAUUAAUUAAGAAGUUCACUUCCUAAGUUUUUCUAGGUCACACCCAUCAUUUUUCCUGGGCCAUUAACUCAGGUGGUUAGAGCGCACCCCUGAUAAGGGUGAGGUCCCUGGUUCAAGUCCAGGAUGGCCCACAUCUCUAUGUUGGGGGUAUAGCUCAGUUGGUAGAGCGCCUGCUUUGCAAGCAGGAUGUCAGCGGUUCGAGUCCGCUUACCUCCACUGAUUACCACCUCUUCCAUAAUUUUUUGUAGAAAGGAAAUCUUUUGAGUUGUGAUCAAAUUCUGAACGAAUCUAGCUUCCUAAUGAAACCAUUAAGGUGCUGGACUCAUUGAAUUAAUUUCAUUGUUUUCAGAGAACCUUGACAACUGCAUAGAUUAUUUUAAAGACAAUAAGCAUCUUUAAUGAUGCAGAUUUAUUAUUUGUGCGAAAGCAUUAAUAACAAUUCUAUUAAGCUGAUGCUUCAAUUAUGAAGUUAUU